CAACUCGCCUGCAUGAAGUUGGAAUUGCUAGUAAUCGCGAAUCAGAAUGUCGCGGUGAAUACGUUCCCGGGCCUUGUACACACCGCCCGUCACACCAUGAGAGUCGAUAACACCCGAAGCCUGUGAGCUAACCGUAAGGAGGCAGCAGUCGAAGGUGGGGUUGAUGAUUGGGGUGAAGUCGUAACAAGGUACC
Molecule: ribosomal RNA, 193 nt
Filed under: uncultured bacterium
Lineage: Bacteria
Description: partial 16S ribosomal RNA
Rfam family: Bacterial small subunit ribosomal RNA
Source: RNAcentral